UGACAAAUGUCACAUCUCAAUUGCCAAAGUUUGUUUUAAAGGAUUUGAUGUUAUAUUAUCAUGGACCAAGAAUAGAAUUUGGACCUGCUCAUCGAUGGCUUUGGGUUUCCUUCCGUCUUGACCGCAAGGCUGACGUGACGGGGAAGACACAAGGAGACAUGGUCUGUUUGUAUAUCAACAAACAAUACUGCAGCUCUAUGACUAUCAGGGAUCAAAUCUGCACGCCUGAUGUUGAACUUUUGUCGCGGUCGCCGCGCCCCUUUCAUCCGCCACCUAACUGUGGAGGGGGCAUGGCCUGUGGACCUGCAGCGAAGCGGGGUGUGCCAGGACCGGCCUUGAAAUCAGCGACAGCAGCCAGGAGGAGAGACGAGGUUGAGGGUGGAGCCAGAGUGCGAGCGAGAACAAAAGAGAAAAAGACAAUUGCUGGAAAGCAACUGACAGACUUAUUGAAAAAUAAAACAAUAUUGUAACCCUGAAACAGGCUCUCAUGUCGGUGCUUGGUGGUCUGAAGAACCUCCAGGAGGGCAAGCCACACACUAACCAAUAACAAAUAAAUAACUUCUUACCAUUAACGCAACUUCUUGAACAAUUGUGGUAGAAAACGGAUGGAUGGAUUAAAAAAGCACGAGAUUGUUUUAUAUUUUGAACAUUAUUUUUAAUACUGUGAUUACAAGUAGAAUUAUUCAUUACUUAUCGUGUCAAGCAAUGUCAGCUCAGAUUUACCACACUGCAAAAACAGAAAAACUAAGUAAGAAUAAAUA
Molecule: long non-coding RNA, 761 nt
Organism: Nerophis ophidion (straightnose pipefish)
Lineage: Eukaryota; Metazoa; Chordata; Actinopteri; Syngnathiformes; Syngnathidae
Exons: 3
Source: RefSeq, a predicted model, not a curated record